UGCAGUUUGUGUGGUGAAGGUGCUCCCACAAUGUGGUUGGAUUCUACCAUCUGCCGAGCUGGGAUGCGAGCAAGGACUUCAGUUGUACAUUUUAAUAUUCUGGAUAAAAGUUAAAUACAUUAGGAUACUACAGGUGGACAUUCAGAUGGUAAUCUCAGUCAUUGUAACACCUAACUCUGAUUGAAUUACUCAAUUCAUCAGGAGAUGAUAUUUGCAUUGUAUGAGAUGCCGAAAGAC
Non-coding RNA from Chiloscyllium plagiosum (whitespotted bambooshark), 237 nucleotides. The record is from RefSeq and is a predicted model, not a curated record. Lineage: Eukaryota; Metazoa; Chordata; Chondrichthyes; Orectolobiformes; Hemiscylliidae.